CAGCCGCCACGGUAAUACGUAGGUGGCAAGCGUUGUCCGGAUUUAUUGGGCGUAAAGCGAGCGCAGGCGGUCAAUUAAGUCUGAUGUGAAAGCCCCCGGCUCAACCGGGGAGGGUCAUUGGAAACUGGUUGACUUGAGUGCAGAAGAGGAGGGUGGAAUUCCAUGUGUAGCGGUGAAAUGCGUAGAUAUAUGGAGGAACACCAGUGGCGAAGGCGACUCUCUGGUCUGUAACUGACGCUGAGGCUCGAAAGCGCGGGUAGCAAACAGGAUUAGAUACCCGCGUAGUCCCUGUCUCUUAUAC
This 301-nucleotide ribosomal RNA is filed under the name uncultured bacterium. Its description in RNAcentral is "partial 16S ribosomal RNA". It matches the Rfam family "Bacterial small subunit ribosomal RNA", at positions 509 to 807 of the family's 1533-position model. The record is from RNAcentral.